GAGCUGUGGAUCGGAGUGAAAGGCUAAUCAAGCUCGGAGAUAGCUGGUUCUCCUCGAAAUCUAUUUAGGUAGAGCGUCGUGUCUUACCCUGGGGGGUAGAGCACUGUUUGGGCUAGGGGGUCAUCCCGACUUACCAACCCCAUGCAAACUCCGAAUACCCAGGAGUACAAUCACGGCAGACAGACAGCGGGUGCUAACGUCCGUUGUCAAGAGGGCAACAACCCAGACCGCCAGCUAAGGUCCCAAAUACCAAUUAAGUGGGAAACGAUGUGGGAAGGCUUAGACAGCUAGG
This 292-nucleotide ribosomal RNA is filed under the name Minutocellus polymorphus. Its description in RNAcentral is "partial Bacterial large subunit ribosomal RNA". It matches the Rfam family "Bacterial large subunit ribosomal RNA", at positions 806 to 1097 of the family's 2925-position model. Lineage: Eukaryota; Bacillariophyta; Thalassiosirophyceae; Cymatosirales; Cymatosiraceae. The record is from RNAcentral.